CAUAUUCCCGCCAAGGAUAAACAUCAGUUAUAUUCUGUACAUUACAACACUAUUGACCUUUUUCCUUGUCUUUACAGCUGGCAUGAUCCCAGACUCGUAAUACUUGUUUACCAAAAACCAUCCAAGCUAUGGGAUUGAAGGUAACGGCGAGUUUGUCGCUAAGAUUGGAAUCUUUCUUCAACACAUCAUCGACCGUAAAAAACUUAAGGGACACGAGAGAACAAAAUACGGAUGAAACGUGCUAAUUCUACCGUCAGUCUGCUAAUCAGCUAAUGCAAAUCAGAGCGAUGCAGCAGGAAGAGGAACGGGAACUUGCUUUGGAAAUGCUCAUCAAAUUGAGGUGGUUGAGGCUGCGAUUAAAAUUUGCCUCUUGUACGCAGUUGUUAGAAUGAUUCCAACGAGAAUUAUUGAUGUUGUUUAUAGAAUAAGUUAUUAGUAUAAUGUAUUCUAAGUAUGUAGAAUUAAACGCAAUCAAAUACAAUUUUUUAAAUUAAAAAUAA
This is a long non-coding RNA of Toxorhynchites rutilus septentrionalis, 500 nucleotides long. RefSeq lists it as uncharacterized. The record is from RefSeq and is a predicted model, not a curated record. The transcript is spliced from 2 exons. NCBI's taxonomy places the organism in Eukaryota, Metazoa, Arthropoda, Insecta, Diptera, Culicidae.